RNAcentral lists this unclassified non-coding RNA (2711 nucleotides) under Hevea brasiliensis (rubber tree). The record is from RNAcentral. Lineage: Eukaryota; Viridiplantae; Streptophyta; Magnoliopsida; Malpighiales; Euphorbiaceae.
UCAGUGCAUGUGUGAUGUUAAUGCCCCCUAACAAUUGCACACAGCAUAUAUAACCUGAUGUGUCAAAUUCAAAAAAAAACAAAAAAAAAGGAAACAUCAUCUUGAACUUGGAAAAAGACAUGUAGAUAACAAAUAGACCUUUUAAAAAGGAACAUCUAUGGUUCCUUGGCAACAGUUAGUAUUGAUGCAGUAACCAAUCGAAGAGUCUUUCAAUUAAUGUUGUGAUUGAUUUUCUAUGUUCAAGUAUUUUCAAGCAUGCAAAGGCAAGUAUGAAAUUCUUUGUUUCAAACUCAUUGCUACUGUCCAAGAAGAUAAGUUCCUUGUUCUCCAAAUUCAGCUCUUGAUUCUUCCUUUCUAAAAGACUCGAGGUCAAAUUUUCUCCAACCAGGGGAGAAUAAUACAACAUUGGAAAGAAGACUAAAACUUAGGAAUUAUAUUCAUUAUAGAAUUAGGAAGUUUUGACUUUAUUUUUUAAGAAUUUUAUUAGGUUUUAAAACUUCCUAGUUUCUCUAGACAAUUUGUUUAUCUUUCUUCUUGAGAAUUUGUUUCUCUUGAUCCCUUGAUUUCUUCUUGUUCUACAUCAAGCAUACUUAAGGAAUGAGCACCAACCAGGCAGAUGAGCAAUAUGUGGACAGGAACAAGCUUGAUCUUGCAGUACCAAGAAGACCCUUCCCCAAUAUGCUGUAAGGCCUUUUCAAGAGGCCUUGACGAUGAACUAUUAAUGCAGGAAUCAAAUAUACAGGGAGAUAUACGGGAAGCGCUCUUUUGUAUGCUUGAAUAAAAAAAGACAUAACAUGUCCACUACAUGACUGAUUUCCAUGUAUGAUCGAGCAGGGGAUUUUCAUUUCUGGAUCUAGUUUAAUGUUAACACCUGUAGAGUUGUAAUAUUUCUCUAUUAAAUCCAAAUCUGUAAAAGGCAAGCCACUUGCUAUCUCCUUCAUUCCUUGCAAGAUAACAGGAUCCUUCCCUCCAUGUUUAUUGAGAAAGGAUUUAUAUGAGGGGGCCAAACUCUCUUGCUUCAAUAUGUAAGCUGACCUGGAAAAUGCAUGUUUCUACAUAAACUAUACUCUGGGGAAAGGGGUAUUUCAGCUCAUUAAAUAAUUAAAGGAUGAAGUAAUCAGUGCAUAAAUUUGAUUCAGGCUGUAAGUCCUGAUGCAGAUGAUAUAAAGCCCUGAUCAAGGCAUUUAUACAACAUUAAGAACAAUCAAGUAAAAAAAAUCAUGGAAUUCAUACUAAAAUAUUGUUGUGUGUGUGUAUAUAUAAAUACAAAUAGUUUUCCUUUUCACUUUUCUUUCUGUGCGACUGUCCCAAUGCAACAGCAUAUAUAAGGCUUUGAUGAAUGACUUGGUACAAACCACUAAGGGUACGACACUUUUUGAAAUUUAUGCCUCAUAAUCUUUUAUGCUGAAACAGAUAAUAACUACUAAGUUCUUAUUUAACCCAGCUGAAGUCUAAGCUAAAUAGUAAAUCCCCAACAAGGUGGCUUUUUAAGCCACUCACAUUGCAUGUUUAUCAAGUUCAUAAUCAAUCUCAUAUGUAGCCUACAGAUUUCUGGAAAUAUUUUUAUAAUUAUUAUUAUACCUUAUGGAUGUUCACAGGAUACAAUCAGAUAAUGGUGGCGACAGAUUUUACUUGCUGGGUGAUGAUUAAUAAAAUAAUGGAAGCCUUAGUUACACAUUCAUACUGCUUUAUCGUGGUUGAAUAGAGAAACAAUUUAUAAGAUAUCAGAUGUUUUGAAACCAUAAAAAGCAAUUGAUUAAAGUAAACAGGUUCAGCAAAGAGAGGGACAUACAAAAUUUGAGAAGAAGAAAGACACAUGAGGAAGAUGUCUCCAUGACUCCAAGUAAGAACUUUACAAUAUUUUCCAAACCGUUUGCUCUUAACCCCACAACGUGAUGCCAAAACAGCAGCACGCAUGAGUAUGUAUAAAGCCAAGCUUGUGUGCUGCGUGUUUGAUCCCGUAAGAAGCAUAGAGGGACCAGCAAUUAAUCCGGCCAAUAAAGCUCUCCAUUUGGCAGUCCUACGGUGGCCUCCCAAAGAAGCAAUCAUUUCAUCCACAGAAACAAAUGUACCAGCAAAGGUCCCAAGGAACAGACCGUAUCUUAAAGUUUCUUUAAGAGCUAAUGCAAUAGCUUCACUAUUCGAAAACACCUCAACUUUCCUCGAGGAAGAGGAUAAUCUGGUGCGGCGCAGCCUAGCGAUAAUUGAAAACAGGGAGAGACCUCCUUUAAGGCCGGCACCAAUUGAGAAUCCUUUAGCCCAAGCGGUAAUAACUCUCCAUAGCUUCUCCGAUUCCUUCAAUGGAAUCGGAUCAAACCCCAACGAAGAAGAAGAAGAAGAGCAUGAAGGAGGAUCCGAUCUCAUGCAUUGCACACAGCGAGGAUCAGCAAUGGAUCUGUCAUCAUCGCCAUGCAAGCCACCAUUCUCGCCGGAAAAGCAUGAUGAACAGGUAGCGGUUCCAGGCGGCGACGACAUAGAGAAGUAGGGUUGCUGAAGAAUACGCUAAGCGCAGAGAGAAAGAGGAAUCAUGGCGCAGAGAAAACUUGGUGGGAAUCAUUUUUGAAAGAAAGCGGAAGGCUUUGCGUUUAUCGAAAUGCGAGUGUAAGAGUAACACGUGUAAGAUAGUUUCUCUGCCAUCGUCUUCAUCUUUUGGAAUUUGGAACGUUGACGCGCGUUAAAUUCUGUCUGGAGUUACUACUAGUACUUUUCUG